GGGUGGGGGUGCGCAGGUGGCAGGUGCGGGGUGAAGAAGACCGUGCAGGCGAGGCGCGUGCGCAGAAGUGCCGGGCGGCCUUUUCGCGUUGCGCGUCUAGGGGAUGCGCUGCGGGGUUAGCCUCUUCUCUCCUUUUCCUCUCUCGAGACGCCGCCUCGGUACAGGCCCCGGCCCCUCAUGGUCCUCUACCGGCGCAGCCACGGCGGCCGCGAGUUCCGGUAGUGCGAGUGGGUGCAGGCUAUGGUGGCCCCGCUGUCCCAGCCGGAGAAGGAGCGCACCCAGAGGGAUUAGGGCCAGAAGUAGUCGGAGCCGCCGAAGUAGAGGGUGAAGUACAAGGCGGCGCUCGACGUCCCGUAGACGAAGCGGAACCCCGAGGAGCAGAGCGUCCAGGAGUUGCUCGAGUAGUUCGUGAGGCAGCGCGUCAGGGCGGGCCGGAGCACGCUCGACGAGCUCUGGACGCUGAGGGUGCCCACCGGCAGGUCGGUGCGCGUCAUGUGGAAGAAGAAGCGGUGCAUGGAGAGCGAGAAGCACGAGGCCGCCAGCGGCCGCUCGGCGCAGUACCGGCGGAAGAGUACCGGAGAGCGCAAGGAGUGAUACGAGAGGUCCCACAUAGAGCCGAUGGUGUGGCAGGGCGUCCAAAAGCGCCCUCGUCAUCAGCCGGAACAUAAACCACGAUAGACCAUGACCAAGCGGUUGUGGCAAGAACGAGUUAUGAAGGGUUACUAACUCCUCUCGCGUUAACCCUCCACCAAAAUAUAGUUCCUAUGAAGUGUAUAAGUUCUACACGAGUUCAAACUCAUACUAUUACGUUCCCGUCGUUCCUUCUUUCAACGAUGACUAACUCCUACUCUAUUUUAGUGGGCUGGAUGAGUGUAAUAGACGUUUCAAGUCUUUCCGUGAUCCGUAUUUAACAAGCAAAACCCUGGAUGAACACGGAUCGAGCGAAUACACGACGAAUCU
This 960-nucleotide ribosomal RNA is filed under the name Triticum aestivum (bread wheat). Its description in RNAcentral is "partial small subunit ribosomal RNA". The record is from RNAcentral. Lineage: Eukaryota; Viridiplantae; Streptophyta; Magnoliopsida; Poales; Poaceae.